RNAcentral lists this ribosomal RNA (254 nucleotides) under uncultured bacterium. Its description in RNAcentral is "partial 16S ribosomal RNA". It matches the Rfam family "Bacterial small subunit ribosomal RNA", at positions 524 to 776 of the family's 1533-position model. The record is from RNAcentral.
UACGGGGGGAGCAAGCGUUGUUCGGAUUUACUGGGCGUAAAGGGCGCGUAGGCGGCCACCGCAAGUCGACUGUGAAAUCUCCGGGCUUAACCCGGAAAGGUCAGCCGAAACUGCGGGGCUAGAGUGCAGAAGGGGCAACUGGAAUUCUCGGUGUAGCGGUGAAAUGCGUAGAUAUCGAGAGGAACACCUGCGGCGAAGGCGGGUUGCUGGGCUGACACUGACGCUGAUGCGCGAAAGCUAGGGGAGCGAACGGG